GGCUAGUCCGAAGGUAGUGAGUUAUCUCAACUGAUUGUUCACAGUCAGUGACAGAUCCAACUCCUUGUUCUACUCUUACCUCCUUUUCACUACUGCACUUGAUUAGUCUUAA
Molecule: Y RNA, 112 nt
Filed under: Microcebus murinus (gray mouse lemur)
Lineage: Eukaryota; Metazoa; Chordata; Mammalia; Primates; Cheirogaleidae
Description: Y RNA (ENSMICG00000042485.1)
Rfam family: Y RNA
About the family: Y RNAs are components of the Ro ribonucleoprotein particle (Ro RNP), in association with Ro60 and La proteins. The Y RNAs and Ro60 and La proteins are well conserved, but the function of the Ro RNP is not known.
Source: Rfam by way of RNAcentral